This is a non-coding RNA of Cladochytrium tenue, 72 nucleotides long. The record is from the annotation of a GenBank genome assembly. Lineage: Eukaryota; Fungi; Chytridiomycota; Chytridiomycetes; Cladochytriales; Cladochytriaceae.
ACCCGUGUGACGAAGUGGUAUCGUGCUUCCCUUCUAAGGAAGAAAUCCUGGGUUCGAACCCCAGCAUGGGUG